CCUACGGGCGGCAGCAGUGAGGAAUAUUGGUCACUGGGCGAGAGCCUGAACCAGCCAAGUCGCGUGAAGGAUGACGGCCCUACGGGUUGUAAACUUCUUUUGUCAGGGAGCAAUUGAGUCCACGUGUGGGCUUAGCGAGAGUACCUGAAGAAAAAGCAUCGGCUAACUCCGUGCCAGCAGCCGCGGUAAUCCGGAGGAUGCGAGCGUUAUCCGGAUUUAUUGGGUUGAAAGGGUGCGCAGGCGGCCUGUUAAGUCAGCGGUAAAAGCCCGGGGCCCAACCCCGGGGAGCCGUUGAAACUGGCUGGCUGGAGUUGGAGAGAAGUACGCGGAAUGAGCGGUGUAGCGGUGAAAUGCUUAGAUAUCGCGCAGAACCCCGAUUGCGAAGGCAGCGUACCGGCUCCACACUGACGCUGAGGCACGAAAGCGUGGGUAUCGAACAGGAUUAGAUACCCCUGUAGUC
This 460-nucleotide ribosomal RNA is filed under the name uncultured bacterium. RNAcentral's name for it is "partial 16S ribosomal RNA". It matches the Rfam family "Bacterial small subunit ribosomal RNA", at positions 338 to 795 of the family's 1533-position model. The record is from RNAcentral.